Nicotiana tabacum (common tobacco) is the source of this 753-nucleotide non-coding RNA. The record is from RefSeq and is a predicted model, not a curated record. NCBI's taxonomy places the organism in Eukaryota, Viridiplantae, Streptophyta, Magnoliopsida, Solanales, Solanaceae.
ACUGGGUUAUAACUCUCGAAACAACCGGCUGGGUCGUUACAUUUGACUAAUGUCCAAUAAUAUAUUUUUUUAACAUAUUACAGCCUAUCAUGACAAUAUAUGUGCAUGUUUCUAAUAAUACUGAACCUACAGCUGAUGUAGUUUCAAGUUCGCAUCCAGGUAAGUUAUUUCAUUCGUUAAAAUUUUAGCCCUUUAAAAUCUCUUGCUUGUAUAGGUUUAAUUUGCUAUAUACCUAAAUAUUUUCCUAUGUGGCUGAAGGAAAAAAGAUAAAGGGAAGGGGGAAGACAACAUGGUUUUCAGUUCAAAAGAAACAGAAAGACAUUGACAAUGAAAAGUUGAAGGUGAUUAUUCCACCGGAUAGAACAGUAGCAGUAGGCCCUGGAGCUAAAGAUUUUGUUACCGAGCUCUCAGUCAAAGUUCUCCUCCAUGCUAGGCAUGAUGUCAAGAAAUGGAAGGAUGUCCCUAAUCUAGCAAAAGAUAGAAUUGUUGCUCAUAUGCUGGCUCCACGAUCAUUUCAAUAAAUUUGCUACGAAGGAGGAAAGCUUGCAUAACAUGCCAGCAGAGGUUAAUGAAGCUGAAUGGAAUUUCUUAGGGGACUUUUUCAGUUCUGAUGCUUUUAAGCAAAUGAGUUGCACGAAAUAAAACUAAUAAGGAAAAAUAAGAAAUGAAUCAUAUUUGUGGCAGAAAGUCCUUCCAAGCAGUAUCUUAUGAUGCGAUUUGGAGAAUUUGGAGGCCGAGUCCAGAGGCAAGAUC